This is a non-coding RNA of Mycena galericulata, 92 nucleotides long. Lineage: Eukaryota; Fungi; Basidiomycota; Agaricomycetes; Agaricales; Mycenaceae. The record is from the annotation of a GenBank genome assembly.
GACCUGGUGGUGUAAUGCUAGCACACCUGCUGCAAUUGCCGUUUGAGGAACGAGUUCAACAGGAGCUCCCCGUUCAAUUCGGGGCUAGGUCA